UCUAGCUGCCUGGACUAUAAACCCUAGAAGUAAAAGCCUAUGGAAAGCUACACCGCUACACCGAGCGGCAGCAAGAGCAAGCAAAAUCCACUUAAGGUUUUAGUAUCCGUGCUCACUGUGUGCUCUCUACCUCCAGCACUAAGAAACGAUUUCUCCUUCCACUCCAUGUACGGGUUGCAUUUGGAUUGCUUUUCUAAAGUGUGCCUCUCUUUGUAAGAUUUCAGUUGGGGGGUGCCUGGGUGUCUUUAUUCCAGUACAUCUUGUUUAUCUUCUAUUCUCAGCUCUGCAACCUCGUUCUUCUCUCCCGGCUAAGCUUUUAGGAAGGGAAGGAUCCAGGAGGGCCAUCUAGUGAGAAGAGUAUUAUCACUGAAACUGUAGUGCUUUAGAGCAUCAGAGAAAUAUCUUAAGGACUGUGUCCAGGCCGGUUUGCUCUCUGUGUCCUCUGGGGAAAAUGCUCCAGCAGAGGCACCCCGCAUCCAGGCCUGACAGGAGAGUGCGGAGGCCCUUGUUUGCGCCACUUUAGAGAUUUGUAUUUGUGUGACCAAAGAGGCAUCGCCGGCCGCCUGGUUUCUGGGCAGUUAAAAGGCGGGGAAAACCCGGAAUGUUCUCUCACUUCUGGCUUCCGGGAAACACGGGAGGAAAUCAAGGGCAGCACCCGCCCGAGCGUG
Molecule: long non-coding RNA, 668 nt
Filed under: Mus pahari (shrew mouse)
Lineage: Eukaryota; Metazoa; Chordata; Mammalia; Rodentia; Muridae
Description: lncRNA (MGP_PahariEiJ_G0004909.1)
Source: RNAcentral